Molecule: ribosomal RNA, 360 nt
Filed under: uncultured bacterium
Lineage: Bacteria
Description: bacterial SSU rRNA
Rfam family: Bacterial small subunit ribosomal RNA
Source: RNAcentral
AACGAACGCUGGCGGCAGGCUUAACACAUGCAAGUCGAACGCCCCGCAAGGGAGUGGCGCACGGGUGGAGUAACGCGUGGGAAUAUGCCCUUCGGUUCGGAAUAACACAGGGAAACUUGUGCUAAUACCGGAUACGAUCUACGGAUGAAGAUUUAUCGCCGAGGGAGUAGCCCACGUAGGAUUAGCUAGUUGGUGAGGUAAUGGCUCACCAAGGCGACGAUCCUUAGCUGGUCUGAGAGGAUGAUCAGCCACACUGGGACUGAGACACGGCCCAGACUCCUACGGGAGGCAGCAGUGGGGAAUAUUGGACAAUGGGCGAAAGCCUGAUCCAGCCAUGCCGCGUGAGUGAUGAAGGCCUUA